This 2547-nucleotide long non-coding RNA is filed under the name Podarcis lilfordi (Lilford's wall lizard). Lineage: Eukaryota; Metazoa; Chordata; Lepidosauria; Squamata; Lacertidae. The record is from RNAcentral.
AGACAGUUGGUGCAGUUGGUUCUUGUGUGAGGGGAGGUAGAAGAGUUAGAGACAGGAUAAAAAUAAGACUAAGAAGGUAAAGAGUAACAACGUUUUGAAUGCAGUUGAAGUUUAUUUGUGUCUGCAGUAAACUACACUCUUCUUUGUUAACUUAAGAACCUGAUUGAGACUAAGUGAUUUACCGGGGAGGACCUGGUUGGUGGCAGCGGAUUAGUGGUGUACGGGUCAAUAGUUCGUGAGACAAUUGGGGGCUCCGUACGAACUCCAACCCCCCCCCCCACAUUGUGCCAUAGGGCAUCAGGUGUGGGGUGGCUUGAGGGAAACAGCCUUGUGGGCUAAAUUAGGACCUGUGUGGGCCUCAGCUUGGCCCAUGUGCAAUACCUCUAAGGCUGUUUGGUUUAAUCUGACGUGCGGCCAGAUACUCCCGAGAUAUUUUAGAUGAGGGUGUGAUUUCUGCAUAUUCCUUGCAUUGCGUGUGUGGCACCUCUCAGUGUUGCUGCUGACCUUUAAAGCCCUAAAUGGCCUCUUGGUCCUAUAUACCUGAAGGAGCGUCUCCACCCCCAUCGUUCAGCCCAGACACUGAGGUCCAGCUCCGAGGGCCUUCUGGUGGUUCCCUCCCUGCGAGAAGUGAGGUUACAGGGAACCAGGCAGAGGGCCUUCUCAGUAGUGGCCCCCGCCCUGUGGAACACCCUCCCUUCAGAUGUCAAGGAAAUAAACAACUACCUGAUUUUUAGAAGACAUCUGAAGGCAGCCCUGUUUAGGGAAGUUUUUAAUGUUUGAUGUUUUAUUCUGUUUUUUAAUAUUCUAUUGGGAGCCGCCCAGAGUGGCUGGGGAAACCCAGCCAGAUGGACAGGGUAUAAAUCUUUAUCAUUAUAUAAAAACAAACUUGCAAGUUUGAGGCCUUCAAGAUUUCACUGAGCGGUUUCAUGUGAACUUGUGCCGUGUGCUAUGGGGUAGCUUUUAGUGUCGUGUUAGGGCUCUGCAUUUUGGAAGAGUGUCAAUGGUGAGGACGUACUGUUAUGGCAACAGCUUGUUCACGCCGCCUCUGCCUUCUCUCUCCUGCAUUCCGAGCCGCCGUUCUCUCACAUUGUGCAUGACUGAUGAUGGAAGGCAGGGGAAUCCCUAAAAUAAAACAUAACCCAGUGAGAAGCAAGGGCGAGGAAAGGCUUGAAUGCGGCAGGUUCCAAACCAUCCCCACCAGAGGGCACUUCAAUCCACCAGAGUGUGCUUUCAUCCAAGGAAUCUUCUCUUCAGAUUGCCCUAGCAUGGCUGAUACAUUUCCGCUUGGGCUGAAAUUUCUAAGUUCUGUGCAUCUUGACUGCCCAUUCCACCGGCCUACAAAUUCUCUAUUAUCUGGGUUGUGUUGCCAUUUAAUUACUGACUGCUAAUUCAGGACCAUCCAGAAAAUCCGGUCUUCAGGGCAGGAACAAGGGAGAAAUCUAGUUAAAAUGAGGGCAAAAAGACAAGGAGGCAGUGAGAAGAUUUUAGGUACUGAUAACAUGAUAUGUUUUAUGGCCCUUUGUGUUCACCAGAUCUACAAAUGAGGAUUGAGUAAUGUGUGCUUCGCACAUUAUGAAUGGCAUGGAGAGAAUAGAUAGAGAAAAAGUCCCCCCCCCUCAUGACACUAGACCUCAGGGACAUCCAUUGAAGCUGAAUCUUUGAAGAUUGAGGACACCUGGCUUGCCAGCAAUACAUGUGAAAAGGAUGUAGGGGUCUUAGUGGACUACAAACUUAACAUGAGUCAGCAGUGUGAUGCAGCAGCAAAAAAGGCUCAUGCUAUUCUAGGCUGCAUCAGCAGAAGCACAGUGUCUAGUAAUAGUUGUUGGUGCCCUUAUAAUAGAUUCUUUUAUUUUAUUUGGUUUUAUUGCUAUCUUUCUUUUUUAUUCAGGAUGUACUUUUAUAUCCUGAAACCCAUUUUUAUACUUUUUGUGAGUGUUAUGCAAAUUUUUUUUUUUUUUUGGGGGGGAGAAAAGUAAAAGAAUGGAAACCAACAAUGCAAUACAUUGUAAGGCAAUAUGAAUUGAAUAACAUUUUUUACAAUGGCCCCUAUUCCUGUGGUUAUCCUGCAAAGAAGAUACAAAUUAAAUUUAAUGUUGAAUCACAAACCGCAAAGUUGGAAGGGACCCAACGGUUCAUCUAGCCCAACCCCCUGCAAUGCAAGGAAGCACAACUAAAAAAUCCCUGACAGAUGGCCAUCCAACCUCUGUUUAAAAAGCCUCCAGUGUGUUUUGUGAGAUUGGUUGGUGUAUUAAGUGUGUCUGCUAUUUGUAUGUCCAUUUGCUGAAGUGAAUCUCACUCCUUCUUCCCUCCCCCUGCAGCACUUCUGUAACCUUUGGAGUCAGAAUCUGCACACAACAUCCUGCCAUAUACUCUGCCCACGCAGCCAUCUGUUCCAUCCAACAGCGUUUCGUCAAGUUUGGGUACCACACUGGAAAAAGAGACAGAUUUCUCCUCUUCUCCAGCCCUAUUCUCCUUUGCACUCUGCCUUCCCAGAGUCUUCCUUUCCUGCUGCUGCGCUGAAUGAUCACCAGGGCCCUUUCUUGGGGG